AAAGAGCAUCAUCAGAGUUUCAGAAUUCGACGAUCGGGCGGGCCACUUGGGCCAGUCGCCCUAUUUUCCUUGAAAAAGGGAAGCAGAAGGCGGAGAGCCCUCCGUCCGAUCAUGAUUCCACCCUGGAGGGUCCCUACCUCUGUUUUUUCAGAAGACCCUCGAGACUCGCAGUCGAAAGGACCUCCUGGAUCAAAGAUUUUAGGAGAUGAAUCGAU
Molecule: long non-coding RNA, 215 nt
Filed under: Elaeis guineensis (African oil palm)
Lineage: Eukaryota; Viridiplantae; Streptophyta; Magnoliopsida; Arecales; Arecaceae
Description: long non-coding RNA (EGUI_LNC078789)
Source: RNAcentral